Molecule: ribosomal RNA, 505 nt
Filed under: uncultured bacterium
Lineage: Bacteria
Description: partial 16S ribosomal RNA
Rfam family: Bacterial small subunit ribosomal RNA
Source: RNAcentral
GACGAACGCUGGCGGCGUGCCUAAUACAUGCAAGUAGAACGCACAGUUUAUACCGUAGCUUGCUACACCAUAGACGGUGAGUUGCGAACGGGUGAGUAACGCGUAGGUAACCUGCCUGGUAGCGGGGGAUAACUAUUGGAAACGAUAGCUAAUACCGCAUAAUAUUGAUUAUUGCAUGAUAAUUGAUGGAAAGAUGCUAUUGCAUCACUACCAGAUGGACCUGCGUUGUAUUAGCUAGUAGGUGAGGUAACGGCUCACCUAGGCGACGAUACAUAGCCGACCUGAGAGGGUGCUCGGCCACACUGGGACUGAGACACGGCCCAGACUCCUACGGGAGGCAGCAGUAGGGAAUCUUCGGCAAUGGACGAAAGUCUGACCGAGCAACGCCGCGUGAGUGAAGAAGGUUUUCGGAUCGUAAAGCUCUGUUGUAAGAGAAGAACGGGUGUGAGAGUGGAAAGUUCACACUGUGACGGUAGCUUACCAGAAAGGGACGGCUAACUACGUG